Molecule: ribosomal RNA, 301 nt
Filed under: uncultured bacterium
Lineage: Bacteria
Description: partial 16S ribosomal RNA
Rfam family: Bacterial small subunit ribosomal RNA
Source: RNAcentral
CAGUAGCCGCGGGAAUACGAAGGGGGCUAGCGUUGUUCGGAAUUACUGGGCGUAAAGCGCACGUAGGCGGAUAUUUAAGUCAGGGGUGAAAUCCCAGAGCUCAACUCUGGAACUGCCUUUGAUACUGGGUAUCUUGAGUAUGGAAGAGGUGAGUGGAAUUCCGAGUGUAGAGGUGAAAUUCGUAGAUAUUCGGAGGAACACCAGUGGCGAAGGCGGCUCACUGGUCCAUUACUGACGCUGAGGUGCGAAAGCGUGGGGAGCAAACAGGAUUAGAGACCCCCGUAGUCCCUGUCUCUUAUAA